CCUACGGGAGGCAGCAGUGAGGAAUAUUGGUCAAUGGACGAGAGUCUGAACCAGCCAAGUAGCGUGAAGGAUGAAUGCCCUAUGGGUUGUAAACCUCUUUUAUAAAGGAAUAAAACGAGGUACGUGUCCCUUUUUGCAUGUACCUUAAGAAUAAGGAUCGGCUAACUCCGUGCCAGCAGCCGCGGUAAUACGGAGGAUCCGAGCGUUAUCCGGAUUUAUUGGGUUUAAAGGGAGCGUAGACGGGUUGUUAAGUCAGUUGUGAAAGUUUGCGGCUCAACCGUAAAAUUGCAAUUGAUACUGGCAGUCUUGAGUACAGUUGAGGUAGGCGGAAUUCGUGGUGUAGCGGUGAAAUGCUUAGAUAUCACGAAGAACCCCGAUUGCGAAGGCAGCUUACUGGACUGUGACUGACGUUGAUGCUCGAAAGUGUGGGUAUCAAACAGGAUUAGAUACCCGAGUAGUC
RNAcentral lists this ribosomal RNA (460 nucleotides) under uncultured bacterium. RNAcentral's name for it is "partial 16S ribosomal RNA". It matches the Rfam family "Bacterial small subunit ribosomal RNA", at positions 338 to 795 of the family's 1533-position model. The record is from RNAcentral.